AGCGAACGUUAGCGGCGGGCCUAACACAUGCAAGUCGAACGAGAAAGUUCCCUUCGGGGAAUGAGUACAGUGGCGAACGGGUGAGUAACGCGUGGGAAACCUGCCCUUUUGUGGGGGAUAACAGUUCUAACGAGCUGCUAAUACCGCAUACGACCCCUGGAUCGCAUGGUCCGGGGGUGAAAGGUGGCCUCUCUUUGAAGCUGCCGCAGAAGGAUGGUCCCGCGUCCCCAUUAGCUUGUUGGUGGGGUAAUGGCCUACCAAGGCGACGAUGGGUAGCCGGCCUGAGAGGGUGUCCGGCCACACUGGGCCUGAGAUACGGCCCAGACUCCUACGGGAGGCAGCAGUCGAGAAGCUUCGGCAAUGGGCAAAGCCUGACCGAGCGAUGCCGCGUGAGCGAAGAAGGCCCUAUGGGUUGUAAAGCUCUGUCAGAUUUGGGAAGAAACGCUCCGGGGGUUAAUACCCUCGGGGUUUGACGGUACCAUCAGA
RNAcentral lists this ribosomal RNA (486 nucleotides) under uncultured bacterium. RNAcentral's name for it is "bacterial SSU rRNA". It matches the Rfam family "Bacterial small subunit ribosomal RNA", at positions 29 to 485 of the family's 1533-position model. The record is from RNAcentral.